Molecule: ribosomal RNA, 360 nt
Filed under: Salmonella enterica
Lineage: Bacteria; Pseudomonadati; Pseudomonadota; Gammaproteobacteria; Enterobacterales; Enterobacteriaceae
Also listed under: 1 other name
Description: bacterial SSU rRNA
Rfam family: Bacterial small subunit ribosomal RNA
Source: RNAcentral
AAAUUGAAGAGUUUGAUCAUGGCUCAGAUUGAACGCUGGCGGCAGGCCUAACACAUGCAAGUCGAACGGUAGCACAGAGAGCUUGCUCUCGGGUGACGAGUGGCGGACGGGUGAGUAAUGUCUGGGAAACUGCCUGAUGGAGGGGGAUAACUACUGGAAACGGUGGCUAAUACCGCAUAACGUCGCAAGACCAAAGAGGGGGACCUUCGGGCCUCUUGCCAUCAGAUGUGCCCAGAUGGGAUUAGCUGGUUGGUGAGGUAACGGCUCACCAAGGCGACGAUCCCUAGCUGGUCUGAGAGGAUGACCAGCCACACUGGAACUGAGACACGGUCCAGACUCCUACGGGAGGCAGCAGUGGGG